AACAACUAAAAACUAGAAAUCAUUUGACAAUUUUAUCACCUCAAGGUCUAUACAGUUCAGUGAAUUCAGGUUCUACUUGAGUGAAUGGAUUGAGUUCUCAGUUCAACCACACUUUCUAAUAUCAGAUGCUACAAGCUUUGCCACAGCCUCUGCAUGAAUAGGAAGAAAAGCUUGAGGCCACACAUUCUGGGAUAAACUUGAUAUGCAUCCAGGAAAAUUCACAGGGAGCCAACACAUUCCCUCCUCUAAGAUGGGAUAAAGUGGGGCCAUUCAGAACACAAGCAGCAGAUCACUCCUUUGUCCCCUUCUGUCUUGAAGAAAUCUCAGUGAUUCCUCAUUUGCAAGCUUUUAACAGCAACUCUAUGGACUAAAUUAUCUAAAAAACUUGUGUAACCAAGUUUCAACACUUGGUGAAAUAUAAUACAACCCAGAUACAUAAUAAUUAAGCAUACAUCAUGGUCAAGGAGAUCACCUAGGUAGACUUAAUUUUCUCCAUGGCAUCUGACAAAACAAGGACAAGGCAAAGCACAAGACAUUGCUCACUUAAUAGCCCCUCAUCAUUCUGCCAGUCUCAUAAGAACCGCCAGCUACUGUUUCUUUAUUGAAGAUUCUUUGAGAGGUUUUCUUUAUGGCUUCAGCUUGCAGUAGAAGAUGUCUCAUGUUCCUUUUCCUUCUUCUGUGGCUUUUCCUUCUUCACAUUAAAACACUGUAACUGUUUGUUGCAUGAUUGUCUCAGUAAGAUGUUUUUUUUUAAACUAAGAAAAUCCUUUCCAGAAGCAAAUGAGCUGAAUAGAUAUCUAAUAAGAAAUCUUGCCUUGUUGAUGCCAUGUCAUGAGCAUCAGCUGGCCAAGAAUUCAUGCUGUGUUGUUCUAUUGGUAGCUUAUCCCUUUUCCUUCCAUGAAAGAUAUACAUUGCUAGCGUGUGAUGCCACCACUUGCUGUUGCCAUUGCCGUCAUCCCAACUACAUUGUCAAGCUCCUCUUUACUCUUUGGUGUCUCUCUCUGGGUUCCCAAUGACCAGUGUAAUGCUGUUGCAGGAAACUGUCGAUGAUUGCAAGCAAAAGUGUAAGGACAAAAGUUUCGAUGGUAAAAUUUAAUGGAAUUUCUUCUCUUUGAUUUUACAUAUUUGAUGGUAAGUAGAAGGCAAACUUAGUCUCUAGAAUCUAAUAGUUUGAAUAAUUUUGGUAAUAUUGUAACACAUUAUUAUACUGCAUAAGAUCGACUCGUGACAAAUGGUACUUUGAAUCUAAUAAGUUAAUUAUUCCGUUUCAUCGACUCAUGACAAAUGAUAUCAAAGCCUAUCUAGUAUUGCACAUGGUGCGAGGAUGACACGUCACAGCAUGGAGUCAUCAUCGGCUAUAGCUCAUGUGCACUAUAUAUUACACGGGUGUACUAAUAGACUUGAGCAUUUUGGACCAAUGAUAAAAUCUCAGCGAAGUUAAUGGGUCAAUUAUCCUAUCGGGCCGACUGGUGGAUCGCGAUAGUAAUGCUUGUUCCUUACAUUCCUGAAUAACCAAACGAUUAGGGCCUAAAGAUUUUCUUUUACCUUUCGACUAUGACUCAUGUACACUAUACAUAAGUGUACUUCUUGGCCUAAGCAUUUUGCGCCAAUGAUUCAAGCUCAACAAAGUUAAUGGGUCAAUUAUCCCAUCGGACCUGCUCAUGACUUAGAUAGUAAUGCUUAUUCAUUACAUUCCUGAAUAGCCAAGUGAUUAGGGCCCAAAGAUCUUCUUUUACCUUCUUUUCUCUAUACAGGAAAGGGCAUCACACAUCAUUCAAAAAUUCACAGGAAAAUAAUGGAGAAUAACCCCAGCUGACCAAAGCUGCAAUAGAAUGGAACCUGCAAAUGCUAGUAAUAAUGACUAGGAACCAAAGUGAUGAACGCAAAGAACCGAAGAAUCUUACGUGCUUCUCCUUGCAAAGCUUGGUCAAUGACCGUCAUUGGACGGAAGCAGCAAAAGAAUGUUGGCUAUGGGUUCGACCAGCUCGGUGCCCCAUCUCCAGGCACGCCCUCGUUUGCUCCUCCCUAAUCAUCACAACGAAGACAAGGAAUCGAGCUCAAAUAACAGCAACAACGAAAAGCAUACAAACCCUUGGAAAUGCUAGGGUUUUAGUCGAGCGUGCAAUUCGCAGAAACCAACUCCAAGAAUCGCAUGAACUCGGAAAACCUAAAUUCAUCGAGAAAAGAAACAUCCCUACCAAGCAGAAACUGAAAGUGAAUCGGAGAUGGAUGAAUGGGUCGGAACUUU
This 2248-nucleotide long non-coding RNA is filed under the name Musa acuminata (dwarf banana). RNAcentral's name for it is "long non-coding RNA (MACU_LNC003050)". The record is from RNAcentral. Lineage: Eukaryota; Viridiplantae; Streptophyta; Magnoliopsida; Zingiberales; Musaceae.